Molecule: long non-coding RNA, 17631 nt
Filed under: Gossypium barbadense (sea-island cotton)
Lineage: Eukaryota; Viridiplantae; Streptophyta; Magnoliopsida; Malvales; Malvaceae
Description: long non-coding RNA (GBAR_LNC015352)
Source: RNAcentral
CCAAGUUCAGUUCAGUUUAUUCGAAAGUUUUCAACAUUGUAGAGGAGUGCUUAGAGAUGUAUGAUUUACCUGGAUAAUGUACCGAAUCGAAAAUAGAAGAUAGGCAACAGCAAGUAGGAUCCCACCAAUGACCCAAUUUGAAUAUGAAAGUUGAAGUAAAGUAGAAGAUGGUGAUGGAGAGGAAAAAACUUGGGGGCCUUUGUAAAGAACAACUAAUAGUACGCCUGAAAUUGAUGCUAUGGUCCCCAUGAUUUUAGCUUGACUGGUUGAGCUUCUCAAUGCUACUCUUUCCAAUCUUGUUAUUUUUAGCAUCAAACCAAAGGUAGAAACAAUAAAAAUUAUUGUUUAGUGCUUUUUUAAAAAAAAAUCUAAUAAAAUCCACUCAAAAUUUAUUUAACUAUUACUCUGAAUUGAAUAUUAGAAUCAAAAUCGGUGCUUGGUUUGAUUAGGAAGAGGAAGAAACCUGAAAAGAACCGCCAGUAUGAAGGUAAAAGCUGGUGAGAGAUUACGAAUAGUAGAAGCAAGAGUUGGGUUGCUAUAAUCUAUACCCUUAUAUGCACAUACUUGAGCAAAAAACCUGCCCCCAGAAAAGGGAAAAAAAACACUCUUAGAUAGAAAUCUUUCCAAGAAUCGAAAAUAUAUAUGAUCACAUGUGAGAAAAUAUUUACAGUGAUUCAAUACCCAAUAAGGCCAAGUAGGAAAAUUCUAAAGCCAAGGUGGAAUUUCAAUGAGGGAAGCACACGUCCACUGCACUACAAACAAGCAAAUUUUCAAUGGUGUUGAGUGGUCAUAAAUGUAAAAAAUGCCUUGAUAAUAUUAAGAAAACAAAAUUAUUAAAUUCUUCUAUUAGUUUUAUGUAUGGAUUUAGUAUUUUUAUUUUAAUUAAAUUAUUUUUAAUUAUUAAAAUUUUAUUUUUCUCUAAAUUAUAGUUAUUAAAUUUAUUAAGUUAAAUUAUUUUUUUAAAAUUUUAUAUUAUCACUAUAAAUAUCAUAAUUAUAAUUUUAAAAUAUAAAAUUUAAAAAAUAACUAAAUUUACAACUUAGGUAUCAUACAAACCUAAUAACAUAACUUGAUCUAAUAAAUUUACUACCAAAAUUAAAAUUAUAAAAUUGGAAAAGUAGAGUAAUAACCAAAUCUGGGCAAAGAAAAAACGUAAAAGAUGACCUGGGAAAGAGGAAGGAUAAAGGGAGGAGAAGAAGAGCCCCAAUAGCGUAAGUGUAAGUAAUGAAGAUGAAGUAGCUCAUCCCCUUUGAAGUUGCUUUUUUGAAUAGAACGUUUAGCCCUACAUUAGUGCACUCUAUUGCAACCAUGGCUGUUAAUGGCAGAACAUCGUUGUAGCAGUACCUUCUUGCCAUCUGAAUCUCCUGCUUCUCAAUGGUAUUUCUCAAAAUAAUAUACAAUAGUCAAAAGGACUACAAAAAUGGGGAAUCUUUUUCUUUCAUGUUAAAUUUGUCUUUUAUAAAUAACUUUAAAUCAUAAAUUUAUACUAUUAUUUACACUCCUAUUUGAUUUGGUAUUAUGAGUCAAUCAAAUACAACUCGGUUAGGAAAAUUAUUAAAAUGUUUUUUUAUUUAAAAUAAGUUAUAUUAUCCGAGAGUAUUUUAGUUUUUUUUUAAAUUUUAAAAUAAACAAUAAAAGAUAUACAUCUUGCGAGAUAUGAACCCAAGCCAAGUGUAUUAGAAAUACCUUAAAUUUACCUCUCAACCAAAACUUUGUUUUAAUAUUUUAUACAUUUUAAUUUUAUUAUAUAAACAUUAUUACCUCCGUAAAUUGUAUAUAUUAAUAAUAUUGUCGAUUGAGUUGAUAUCAUAAGUUGACUCGUCACGGCGCCAUCAACUCAAGAUUGAUGACAACACCAUCGCAAACAUUUCUAGAACAUUUAAUAUUUUUAAUUUAAUGUAUUUAUAUGUUUAAAUGUCGUUUACUUGCAAUUUGAUCUAUAUUUUUUCAUUCGUAUACAUUGCACUAUACGUCUUAUUAUUUCUUGUAUGUUAUUUUUAAAUACACUCAUAUGUUCUAAAUAUGUAGUUUCCACACUUAUGCACGUAUGAUAAAUUUAUAAUGGUAUAAAAGGCUGCUAACAAUAUCCCAAAAUUCAAUGUGUGUGUCAUUUUUUUUGUAAAAAUUUCAAAUUUCAUCAAAUAAAUUCAUUUAGCAAUAUUUUUUGUAAGUUAAACAUAUUCCUCUCUAACUAAUCAUUAGUAGUACACAAAAUUCAACGAAUAAUUUAAAAUUAAAAAAUUAUAAAAAUUAUUACAAAACAUCAAAUUGUUAUUGUAAUGCCCUCAAACCGACUCAAUCCAUCGGGUCCAGAUUUCGGUGUUACUACACAUGAUACUUAACAAAAUAUCGAACAAUUGACAAACAAUCCUUACUUAAAACAUUUUUCUUGUUAACUUUGUCGAAACCGUCUUUUUUGUAAAACAAAAAUUUAGUUGUCGACUUUAAAAACAAAAGUUGGAGUCGCCACCAAUCCUUGAUUGAGGUGUGACCGGCUCACCUUAAAAACAAUUUUGGUCUACGAAAUUUGAGAAAAUAGGUUCGGGAGUCAGUUAAGCACGAGGAAGGGUUAGCACCCUCGUAAUGCCCAAAAUCGGUAACAAAUUGAUUAUUUAAUGUCUUGGUGUCGAAAAUUUGAAAAGAUUUUAAAAGGAGACUUUUUAUUUCAUGAAUGAAUCAAAAUAAUAAGACAUUCUUAUUUCAAAGAAAUAAAACACCACACCCAGUGAGUUAGGGCACAAUAUUUUUAAAUCUUCAAAAUACCCGAAUAUUGCCUUUUGCUUUUGAAAAUUCUUAUUUCGAGAAGUCAAAAUAUCAGGACCAGUAAGUUAGGACCCAACAUUUUUGAACUCCAAGAAUAAGCUUUUAUUUAAAAUUUGCGAAUUUAAUGCAAAAUGAAUACUUAGCAUUCUAAAUUCAUCGAAGAAUAAUCGCAAUCCAGUAAGUUAGGACACGGUCUUUCUCGAGAAUCAUGAAUGCCAAAUACUUUGAAAUUUUAUAAAAUAUGAUGAUUUUAAUGUUUUGACAAAACCAAAGUAUAUUUCCCGGAAGGUAUGUUAAAAGUUAAUGUAUAAUAUGAAACAAACUUUAAUUUAAGACCAAUAUGAAUAAAUAUUUACAAAUAUAUAUACAAGUACGAUAUGCAAGUAAAUUUGCAAACACGUGUACGCUUAUAUCUAACACGCAUAUACAAGUAUACAUGUAAAAAGAAGGAAUGGAGUAUAUCAAACAAAAACAAAUAAAAUGCAUGUAUUGAAAAUAAAAUAAAAAUAUAAAAAUAUGCAUAUGUAUAUAUUUAUAGGAAAAAAAAGUAUAAGUAUACUUGUAUUGGUAAAACAUGAAAAUACGCAUUCGUAUAUCGAUAUAAAGAAUGUUUGUAUGUACAAAAUCUAUGUAAAAAAUCUUUUAAAAUAUGUAUGUAUGUAUGUAUAUUUAUAUGUAACAAUUAUGAAAACAAAGUAAUGAUAAAAUGUACAUACAAUAGGUAUAUAUAUUUAAUAUAUUAAAAUAUAUACAUAUUAACAUGCACAUGCGCAUAUAAGCAUAAUAAUAAUAUAUAAUAUUAUAGUAAAAAUAAUAAAGGAAAAAAAACUAAUAAUAUAAAUAACAUAAACGAAAAAAAAUCUAAAAUACAAGAUUAAAGGUUAAAUUGCGAAUAAGCAAAAUUUAAAUGCUGAUUUCAAAAGUAAAUAGCAAGGGGGAGCAAAUUUAGAAGUGUGCAAUAGGAGGAGGACCGAUCGAGCAAUUUUACCCAGUUUCCAAGACGCUGCGUAGCAAGGGACUAAAUUGAAACGAAAAUCAAAUACGCGGCCCAAUUUAAAAAAAGGUACAAUGGGUCUAAUUGGGGUGCGCUGCAAAAGGUAGGGACCAUCUGCGCAAUUUCCCCUUUAAAGCCAAACGUUUGGAUCCUCCCCUUCGGGUCGGGUCACUGCGCGGGUCGCACCUGGCUAAAACGCCGCUGUUUUGUCUUUAAUACUAAAACCAAAAUUUUCUUUCUAAACAACAAUUCUAUUUCAUUUUUUCUUUUUCUUUAAAACAGCAGAGGGGAAAAAGGGAGGGGGCUGACUCUCUGCUAGGGUUCAACCCUAGCCCCUUCAUGCCGCCGCCGUCAUGGAGCCACCGCGUACGGCACUCGAAACCAACGCCCGAACCCAGGUAAGCGCCCUUUUCCUUCCUUUUUAUUUUAAAUGAAAAAUAAAUAAGAAAAAUCAAAAAUAAAAAAACACAAUUCACCUUCGAAAAAAAUUUGGAAUCUCAGUCUUUCUCUCUAUUUUCGUCUAUUUUUUACACUGCAAAAAUUCCCCCAGAUACAAAUUUUCAUCGGCUUUAUAUAGUCGAUUAACACCAAAAAUCUGAAAAAAAAUCAAAAACCCAUUUCUUUCAGUUAUUUGCUGCGCUUGUGUCCCCCCUUUUCACAGGUUUGGUGACCGUGGAGUGCGCGCGAUGAGCGCGGAGCGACAAGCGUGGCGUGUGGGUGCUAUUGCGGCGUGCAUGUGGGAGCUGCUGCGCCUAGGGUUCCUGCUGGUGUUUUGGGUGCUAUUGCGGCGUGCAUGUGGGAGCAAGCUUGGUUUAGUAACUUGGGCCAUUGGGUUUCAAUUAUUGGGUUUUAGUUUACAUUUUUUUUAUUUGUAUGUGGGCUGAGUUUAGUAGGUUGGGUCUAGUAUUUCGGCCUAUUUAUUUACUUGGGCCCGGGCAUUAUUGGGCUUGUACAGCUGUCCCUCUUUGCUCAUUGUCGUGUAACGGGAAUAGAGCAAAGACUAAAAGCCCAAUUGUGCCCGGUCUUACUGAGCCUCGCCUUCUUCAGUGCUUUUCUUCUUCAAGUAACUACAUUCCCUCUUACUGCAUGUUCAGAGGUAUAGGAACUGGUGCUUCGAUCUACCCCAUUGCAUUUUCGGGGAGAUAGGAUUCAUAUGUUGUAGGUUCUUGAAAGAAAAAAAAUUUGCUAUCUUUAAUCUGCUCCACUGCAUAUUCAGAGAGAUAAGACUUAUAACUUCAACUUGUUCUGCUACGACUUAAAGAUAAAUCGGAUGCGAUCUGCUCUACUGUAAUUUCACAGAGAUGAGAUCUGUGAUUUUAAUCCACUCCAUUGCAACUCCAAGGAGAUAGGAUUGGUUAUUUCUGUCUGGUCCACUGUAACUUCAGGAAGACAAGACUUGUAUCUUCGAUCUACUUCGCCACCAGUAUGGGAAGACAAGAUCUGCUCUCUUUGAUCUACUGCAUGCCAAUACAUGAAGACAAGAUCUGCUUUCUUCGAUCUACUCCACGCCAAUACAUGAAGGCAAUAUCUUCUUUCUUCGAUCGAUUCCACUACCGAUCAGGGAGUUAGAAUUACUAGCUUCAAUAUACUCCACUGUAACCUCAGGGAGGUAAAAUCCACCAUCUUUGAUCUGCUCCACUACUGCUUAGGGAGAUAAGAUCUGUAAUCUUCAAUCUAUUCCACUGUUGCCCAAGGAGAUGGAAUUCAAUGUACUCCACUGUAACCUCAUGGAGGUAAAAUUCGCCAUCUUCGAUCUGCUCCACUACUGCUUAGGGAGAUAAGAUCUGUAAUCUUCAAUCUAUUCCACUGCUGCCCAGGGAGAUAGAAUUACUGGCUUCAAUGUACUCCACUGUAACCUCAGGGAGGUAAAAUCCGCCAUCUUUGAUCUGCUCCUCUACUGCUUAGGGAGAUAAGAUCUGUAAUCUUCAAUCUAUUCCACUGCUGCCCAAGGAGAUAGAAUUACUGGCUUCAAUGUACUCCACUGUAACCUCAGGGAGGUAAAAUCCGCCAUCUUUGAUCUGCUCCUCUACUGCUUAGGGAGAUAAGAUCUGUAAUCUUCAAUCUAUUCCACUGCUGCUCAGGGAGAUAGAAUUACUGGCUUCAAUGUACUCCACUGUAACCUCAGGGAGGUAAAAUCCGCUAUCCUUCAUCUGCUCCACUACUGCUUAGGGAGAUAAGAUCUGUAAUCUUCAAUCUAUUCCACUGCUGCCCAAGGAGAUAGAAUUAUUGGCUUCAAUGUACUCCACUGUAACCUCAGGGAGGUAAAGUCUGCCAUCCUUGAUCUACUCCAUUACUACUUAGGGAGAUAAGAUCUGUAAUCUUCAAUCUAUUCCACUGCUACCCAGGGAGAUAGAAUUACUAGCUUCAAUGUACUCCACUGUAACCUCAAGGAGGUAAAAUCCACCAUAUUUGAUCUGCUCCACUACUUCUUAGGGAGAUAAGAUCUGUAAUAUUUAAUUUAUUCUACUACUGCCUAGGGAGAUAGAAUUACUGGCUUUAAUGUACUCCACUGUAACCUCAGGGAGGUAAAAUCCGCCAUCAACCUGCUUCACUGCAAUCGAGGGAGGUAAGGCUGGUAUCUUCAAUCUGCUUCGCUGUCAAUGUAGGAAGGCAAGAUUUGCUAUCUUUAACUUGCUCUACUGCAACUGAGGGAGGUAAGGCUUUAUUUUCGAUCUGAUUCGCUGUCGGUGCAGGAAGGCAAGAUCUGCUAUUUUCACUGAUCUAUUCUCUGGAGAACAUGACCUGUAUAAUAAACCUAAUUAUGCCUAAUGAUUAGGAUGUCAUGAACAGAAUGAAUCAAAUGCUCCUAACUAGACAUGUAUGAAUGGCAUUUGAAUGAAUGUAGAAUGUCAUGAAAAUGAUAUUUUAACGCUUGAGUUAUCAUUACUCUAAGUUUAUUAAGGUCCUAUCGCUUAAUGUACUAUAGCGCCUUUAUGCUCGGUUGGCGAACCUAAUAAGCACUUGACCAGAUUGCCCCCUCACUGUAAACUUCCAAGUUUAAUCCACUGGGAUGCAAAAUUUGUACCAUCUGUUCCCAUUGUAACCCAAGAGUAAAAGAUUUGGCAUUUUCUCAAUCCUCUGUUAUUACAAUUCAAGGAUACAGGAUGUGAAACUUUUUGGUCUCUUACACCAUUCCCAAGGUGUUGUACCAAAUGCUCAUGCACAAAUGAAGAAAUCUUCUCCAAGAAUAACUUCUUCUUAUUACUCGGUGAUAAUUACUUGCUUGUUCAUUGAAGCUUUGUCACCAAUACGGCAUCCUACCAUUUUGUUCAAUUAAUACUUUAGACAAGAAAAUUCAAAGGGAUAGUCUUAAUUUAGACUCUUCUUUAUCAGAUUUCUAACCUGGUGCGUUCUAAACAAUAGUCCUGUUUGAGGUUCCUAUAUUAUUCAGAAACUUCUAGAGUAAUAUGCAAAACUUCCCUUGUGAAAGUUUUAUUAGUCCAUUAAUCAUUAUUCUAAUACAACAUGCUUGCAAAAAAGAUCAUGGAUAAGAAUUGAGUUGGUUCUAAGCAUAGCUCGAAAUGAAUAAGUUGUCAAAGAUAAUAAAGAUGGAUAACAAAGAAAUUGAUUUAGGAAUGCAUAUCUUGGAAAUGAAUGAAGUGUUCCAAGAAUAACAAAAAAUAAUAUAAGGAUUAGGUGCCCCAGAUAUCGCAGCUUGAACUUCUCUGUACAGAUUUUUUUAAGACCAUUCUAAGUUUAACAUGUGUUUAGGAGUACUUUGUCGAUGCCUCAAGAUGUCGCCUACCAUUUCCUGUUGAUUUCGGUAUAGCAAGACCACUAUAUGCCCCCAUUCUGAUCAGUAUUUGAGCUACUCUGAAAAUUUCAAGCGCCCUUUUGAUCAAUAUUUGAGCCUCCCUUUUUGGGUUUUCAACUCAAAUCCCCUUUGGUCUAAGGCGCCCUUUGCGGGUUUUCACCUUAGCCUCUCCAUUUUACUUUUUCAUUUUUCAUUUUCAUCUUUUUAUUUUUUCACAUCGCUUUUUUUCUUUUUUCUUUUUGGGACUCAAACUGCCCUUUGCGGGUUUUUACCUUGGUCCUCUCCUUUUUUAAGCGAAGUAUUUCCUGACUGAAUCUGAGUUUACAGGACCUUGCAGGUUUAUCAUCCAUCUCGCUCAAAAUCAAAGCUCAUUUGGAAAAAAAACCUUCUCUAUAAUCAUAAGGUUCCUCCCAAUUUGGCAUCCGUUUCCCUCAUUAUAUUUUUUGUAGAGAGAGGAUCUUCAACAUUUGGUCACCCUUAUGGAAUUCUCUAGGAUGAACCUUUUGUUAUAGGCUUACAUCAUUCAUUUCUGGUACAUCUGACCGUGAUGAAUAGCUUUUAAUCUUCUUCCUUCUAUCAAGUUCAAUUGAUCACAUUACGAUCUGAUCUAUUCUGCUUCAUCCAACUUGCUCAGCCAAUACCCAGAGAGAAAAAAUUUCAACUUCAAUAGAAAAAACCGUGAUAAACAGAAAAAAGUGGCACUGCUCCAGUAGAGUUUUCACUGCAUCAUUCAUGAUAUUAACUUCGAACAUACUGCAAAUUUCUGAUAUCGUGCUAUUGUUCAGAUUGCAAUGACAGCGCUUAACCUAGGCAUAUCCUGGUAUGACCAUGCGUAGACAUCUUUGAAUUCUUGAAGUAACUCAACAAUGUAUUGAUUUGUCUUUGAAGUCAUAUCAAUUCCAAUCUUCAACAAGCUCACAACUUUUAAUGAUUCUUUAUGAGGUAAGAUCUGUCUAUCCUCUUAUUCUACCAUCCUCAAUAAGUCUGGAGAUAAGCUACGAUCCAUGUCAUCUUCAAAGUUAUGAGAUCCCUUUGAACACAUGUCUCACUCAAAAGGAGAUUCUGAGUCUGUAGCAGCGUUACUCAUGUCAUUGAUAUUUGGGGACCCAUGGUGGGUACUGAAGAAUAUACAAAAGAAUGUAUGAAUAAUAUGAAUGAAUGAAUGAAUAAUUUGGCAGAAAAAAAUCUGAAAGAAUGAACAAAAUUGUAAAGAAUGAAAGAACAUUUGCUCAAAGAUGAUUGCAAUAAUGUAUUUCAUUAAAAUAAUAAUGUUCAGACGUGAGUCUAUUUCACAAAGAAAUUCCUAUUACUUCUAGGCUGAAAGCAACAAGUGUGUUCUGAACAUUACUCUAACAGACUCUAAAUACUUCAGGAGUUUCCUCUGCAGUCCCAUUAUUUAAAACACCUCUAAGACGAAUAUCUAACAAGGACCCUUUUAAUUGUGUCUGCAUCUAUGGCAUCGAUAUGCAAACUUCUCACCACUUCUUCAUACAUUGCAGUCCCUCUAUCCUCAAUCAUGAUUGGGUAACGGAUUUUCUGCACUUGAUGAGUCACCCAACUUGACAAUACCCAUGUUGAUGAAUUUUUCAACUAGCUUUUUAAAGGUAAUGCAAUUCUCUAUUGAGUGCCCCGUAAUUCCCGCGUGGUAGUCAUAUUGCGCGUUCGCAUCAUACCACUUAGGAUAAGGAGGUUGUGGAGGUUUUAAGUAAUGAUGAGUAACAACAUGCACAUCAAACAAGAUUUGAUACAGAUCCUUAUAUGACAUCGGAAUUGGUGUGAACUGGAGCUUCUCAGUACCUGGUUUCACUCUAGAUUCUUGUCUUAAUAAACCUUGUUGGUUAGUGCCACCUUUCUUGGCUGACUCACAAUAACUGGUUUAGAGUAACUCGUGUUGUGCACCUCACUUUCUCUUUUCUUUGAGAUUGACCUCUUGUUACUCUCCUCUGCAUCAAUUUUCCCGCUCCUUACGGCGUUUUCAAUCAUUUCACCAUUCAUGACUAUGUCAGAAAAGCUUUUUGUGGCAUUUCCUAACAUAUGUGUGAUGAACGGGGCUUUCAAUGUAUUUAUAAAAAGUAUCGUCAUUUUUUUCUCUAAGAGCGGUGGUUGAACUUGGACUGCGACUUCCCUCCAUCUUUGUGCGUACUGCCUAAAGCUUUCGCUCGGCUUCUUCUCCAUGUUUUGAAGGGUAAUUCUAUCAGAAGCCAUGUUUGUCAUAUGACUAUACUGUUUCAUGAAUGCUUGUGCCAAGUCCCUCCAUGAACCAAUCGUGGUACGGCUCAGCUGAUUGUACCACUUAGAUGCUGCCCCUGCUAGGCUAUCUUGGAAACAAUGUAUUAAUAACUGGUCAUUGUUAACAUAUCCAGCCAUUCACCUGUAGAACAUGGUGAUAUGAGCCUCUGGGUAAGUCGUCCCAUUGUACUUCUCGAAUUCUGGCAUCUUAAACUUAUGAGGGAGUACCAAAUCAGGAACUAAGCUCAGCUCUUUAGCGUCAAUCCCACGAUAUCUUUCAGUGACUUCCAUCGCCUUGAAUUUCUCCUCGAGCCAUUUGCACAUUUCUUCUAGCUACUUUGGUAACUCCUCCUUUAUUCUUUCCUGUUCAACCACUUCAUCGAAGUUAGGAAUGACAGAGUUAACAGGGUAAUUUUCAGGGUUAGAGCCCAAUCUAGCUUGAAAGUUCGAAGCACUGGCCUGGGACUGCUGAGGCCUGAUUGUGACAGUGGGUUUGUGCAAAUAUUCAGCUUGAGUUCGAACAUGCGGAGGAGUAAAGUCUGGAGGAUAGAGUGGUUCAUUACCCUCUUCGACAUCAGUCAUGGGACCCUUUCCCUUAUCACCUCCUCCAGUCAACAGUUUGGUCAGCUUCGCCAUCAUAUCAUCUUGGGAUUCUCGCAUCUUCUCAGACAUAUCCUGUUGCAUCUUAUCUAACCGCUCCUGCACCUGUAGCUGAAGCCGGUCUUGCAUCUCCUUCUGACACUGUUCUAGUUUUUCCAAUCUCUGAUCCAUGUCCUUAAUCUUUGCUCGAGUGCCAUAACGGUGCUUGGUCAGUUGGUUGGUUUCCAGGUUAGCUGAGCAAUGAUUUUAGUUAAUUAGGAUCCUUUAACUGUGUUUAAUGCAUAUGAUGUAAUGAAAUGCAAAUGCAUGAAAUGAAUGCGAAAAGAUACAUUGAUUCAUUUUCAAUUUUUUUACUAGAAAACUUUACUAGAAAACAGAUCUCUUCACAUAAAGCGGACAUAUAUAUACGGCUUUACCCUCAUACUCCAAGUGAAGACAUCGACCCUUCAGAUAUUAAGAUGUAUCUCACGAAUUUGAUCUCCUUUUUGUUUGAUCUAGGUCGUAAAUCCUUGCUCAUUCACGUUCAUUAGCUUCUUUAUGAUAUUGGAACAUUUGAUGACUUUUGAAUAAACUUUGACAAUUUGGAUCCUCAGGUCAUGCAGCAAAGUCGUAUACUCCUCUUGUUAGGCUUUUCGUGCCAUGUUUUCUUCAGACCAUCGUAUUAUCUUCCACAUUAUCAAGAAACCCGUAUUCUAUAACAAGCUUUCUAAUCUGGUAAUCAAACUCAAAUCAACAUCUCUUUUGUAAGUUGCAAAUGCAAUGCAAUCAUGAUGUCAUGCAAUCAAAACAAAAUAAAACCAAGUCAGUAUCACACCAAAAAUAUAUAAUCCAACACAAAUAUGAAAUAGCAAGAACAUUUAUUCAGGAAUCCACUAGGGUUUGGUAUAGCUCUACCUAGGGCAAGUUCCUAAAGCUCAUUAUAUGAGGCUUAGUUUCUAGAGUAAAGGUACCCAAACCAGCAGAUUCCUCGAUCCUCACCCAUUAUAGGCUCAUGUGGAUCGAGUUCAGUUUAGGGAGAUACAUUUCCCUAUGGCUGCACGGAUAUGAAAAUCUCACGAAGACAUAGGUACGGAUGUAUCCCGGAAGCGGUCCACUACCCUGCACAGAGGUGAAAACCUUACGAAGGACUAGUUUCUCGCUCCCACUUAAGGGGGUAAAACGGACCAUGCAAUGCAAAAUGCAAAAUUGCCAACAUACCAAUAUGAAAAAACAAUGAAUGCGAAGAGAACUCAUGAUUUUUUUAAAAACUUUUGACUUUCGACAAAAAGAUAAAGCAUAAUCAAUUCAUGGCUCGACUCUCAAAUUCUCCAGUGGAGUCGUCAAGCUGUCGAAACUGUCUUUUUUGUAAAACAAAAAUUUAGUUGUCGACUUUAAAAACAAAAGUUGGAGUCGCCACCGAUCCUUGAUUGAGGUGUGAGCGGCUCACCUUAAAAAUAAUUUUAGUCUACGAAAUUUGAGAAAAUAGGUUCGGGAGUCAGUUAAGCACGAGGAAGGGUUAGCACCCUCGUAACGCCCAAAAUCGGUACCAAAUUGAUUAUUUAAUGUCUUGGUGUCGAAAAUUUGAAAAGAUUUUAAAAGGAGACUUUUUAUUUCAUGAAUGAAUCAAAAUAAUAAGACAUUCUUAUUUCAAAGAAAUAAAACACCACACCUAGUGAGUUAUGGCACAAUAUUUUUAAAUCUUCAAAAUACCCGAAUAUUGCCUUUUGCUUUUGAAAAUUCUUAUUUCGAGAAGUCAAAAUAUUAGGACCAGUAAGUUAGGACCCAACAUUUUUGAACUCCAAGAAUAAGCUUUUAUUUAAAAUUUGUGAAUUUAAUGCAAAAUGAAUACUUAGCAUUCUAAAUUCAUCGUAGAAUAAUCGCAAUCCAGUAAGUUAGGACACGGUCUUUCUCGAGAAUCAUGAAUGCCAAAUACUUUGAAAAUUUAUAAAAUAUGAUGAUUUUAAUGUUUUGACAAAACCAAAGUAUAUUUCCCGGAAGGUAUGUUAAAAGUUAAUGUAUAAUAUGAAACAAACUUUAAUUUAAGACCAAUAUGAAUAAAUAUUUACAAAUAUAUAUACAAGUACGAUAUACAAGUAAAUUUGCAAACACGUGUACGCAUAUAUCUAACACGCAUAUACAAGUAUACAUGUAAAAAGAAGAAAUGGAGUAUAUCAAACAAAAACAAAUAAAAUACAUGUAUUGAAAAUAAAAUAAAAAUAUAAAAAUAUGCAUAUGUAUAUAUUUAUAGGGAAAAAAAGUAUAAGUAUACAUGUAUUGGUAAAACAUGAAAAUAUGCAUUCGUAUAUCGAUAUAAAGAAUGUUUGUAUGUACAAAAUCUAUAUAAAAAAUCUUUUAAAAUAUGUAUGUAUAUUUAUAUGUAACAAUUAUGAAAACAAAGUAAUAAUAAAAUGUACAUACAAUAGGUAUAUAUAUUUAAUAUAUUAAAAUAUAUAUAUUAACAUGCACAUGCGCAUAUAAGCAUAAUAAUAUAUAACAUUAUAAUAAAAAUACUAAAGGAAAAAAAAACUAAUAAUAUAAAUAACAUAAAAGAAAAAAAAUCUAAAAUACAAGAUUAAAGGUUAAAUUGCGAAUAAGCAAAAUUUAAAUGUUGAUUUCAAAAGUAAAAAGCAAGGGGGAGCAAAUUUAGAAGCGCGCAAUAGGAGGAGGACCGAUUGAGCAAUUUUACCCAGUUUCCAAGACUCUGCGUAGCAAGGGACUAAAUUGAAAUGAAAAUCAAAUAGCGGCCCAAUUUAAAAAAAAGGUACAGUGGGUCUAAUUGGGGUGCGCUGCAAAAGGUAGGGACCGUCUGUGUAAUUUCCCUUUUAAAGCCAAAGGCGCGGAUCCUCCCCUUCGGGUCGGGUCACCGUGCGGGUCGCACUUGGCUAAAACGGCGCCGUUUUGUCUUUAAUACUAAAACCAAAAUUUUCUUUCUAAACAACAAUUCUAUUUCAUUUUUUCUUUUUCUUUAAAACAGCAAAGGGGAAAAAGGGAGGGGGCUGACUCUCUCCUAGGGUUCAACCCUAGCCCCUUCAUGCCGCCGCCGCCGUGGAGCCACCGCGUACGGCACUCGAAACCAAUGCCCGAACCCAGGUAAGCGCCCUUUCCCUUCCUUUUUAUUUUAAAUGAAAAAUAAAUAAGAAAAAUCAAAAAUAAAAAAACACAAUUCACCUUCGAAAAAAAUUUGGAAUCUCAGUCUUUCUCUCUAUUUUCGUCUGUUUUUUACACUGCAAAAAUUCCCCCAGAUACAAAUUUUCAUCGGCUUUAUAUAGCCGAUUAACACCAAAAAUUCAAAAAAAAAUAAAAAAACCACUUCUUUCCGUCAUUUGCUGCGCUUGUGUCCCCCUUUUUCGCAGGUUUGGUGACCGUGGAGUGCGCACGACGAGCGCAGAGCGACAAGCGUGGCGUGUGGGCGCUGUUGCGGUGUGCGUGUGGGAGCUGCUGCGCCUAGGGUUCCUGUAACUUGGGCCAUUGGGUUUCAAUUAUUGGGUUUUAGUUUACAUUUUUUUAUUUGUAUAUGGGCUGGGUUUAGUAGGUUGGGUCUAGUAUUUGGGCCUAUUUAUUUACUUGGGCCCGGGCAUUAUUGGGCUUGUACAAACUUAAUUGAGAGACUUAAUAUUUGAGAACAAAAAAAGUAUUAAAUAUAAAAUUUUACACUAAACUUGUUACAACUCAUUACAAUAUCAAUGUUUGUUAAAGAUAGACUCUUAGGGGGUAACCCCAAUCUACGCCACUUUUUCACUGUAUGCAUAAUAACCCACUUCGUCGCUAUCUUGGUGUCAUCCCUCCUGGCGCAUUCUCUUACCACAAUACCUGAAACAAUAACAGAUAUUGUAAGUUCAAGAGAACUUAGUGAGCUUUACUACAAAAUACCUUGGCGGGUUCUAUAAUAUUUAAAGAUAAUUUGUGUGCCAACAUUCCCUUUGAACACUUACUUCUAUAUCGGCGGAUAACAUAACAGCCAAUACGGCACGGGUCACAGCCACCUCUGGGUCGGGUCAUCGGGUAUGGACCAAUACGGCACCGUUUUGGAGCCACUGAUCAAACUCCAAACGGCGUCGUUUCAUAUGUCACAUAAGGGCCAAAGAUAAAACCCUAAUCUGAUAGGUACCCUUUCAUUCUUUCAAAACGAAAGGAAAAAAAGAAAAAAAAGAAAAAAAAACAAAAAAAACAGAGAGCUCAAAAGCUCUCCUCUCUGCGCCGCUCUUGCGCCCUCGACCUCCGCCAAGACUCCGAUUGCAACAGAGGUGGUCAGAGAUCCGACGGCCAGGUAAGUGCCCCCUCUUUCUUUGCCUUUCGUUUUACACUACUAAUGAACAACGCAGUAGAAAAGCAAGGAAAAACAGAGAAAGAUUUAAAAGAAAACAGCCCCUAAACAGAAGUCAGAUUCGAAAUCACCUCCAAGACUUUUUUUUUCCGAAACUUGUUUUUGAUUUCUUUUUGUAUUCAAUCUCGGUGUGUGGGUGUUUUUACAUUCGAUCUUCCUUUAAAAAAAAAGGGAACCCCUUUUACAAUUUCGAAAACGGCUUUAUAGCCAAAAAAAUCAUAGAAACUUUACAGGUAAUUUUUCUAAAAAACCUGCUAUUUCUCUGCUAUUCUCUUUUUUACGUUCGUUGCGUUUUCUGCUUUUGUUGUCUACUGUUGUGUGCGUGUUGUUGCAGGUAUACGGGCGUAUAAGGACGUGGUGCGGUGCAAUGCAUGAAGGGGUGGUCCCUGGCGGUGGCGUGGCUCGGCUCGGAGGCUUGCUGGAGCGGCGGCUGAGGCGUGCGAGGCUUGUGGGGCCAAAGGAAAGCCCUAGUGGCUGCGGCGCUGGCUGCUCACCCUAGCUGCUAGGGUUUCGCUUGUGGCUUUGGGCUUAGGUGAUUUGGGCCAUUGGGUUUAGUGGGUCAAGCUGGUAUUGGGUUAACAGUUUAGGCUUGGGACUUUGGAUUUUGUAAUCGGGUUUGGGCUUAAUCUACUUGGUUUGUAAUUUGGACUGUUAAUAAUUUAAUUUUUUAUAUUAUUAUUAUUAUUAUUUGGUUUAUUUUGUUGGUUUAUGGGUCGGGAAAAAAUGGGUUCUUACAGCCCUUAUGUGUAUUGUAUUGCUUAUUUGUACUUAUCGAUUAUUUGUCAUCCAUUAGAGUACAUUUUGGUUUACGAAUUAUCACUUCGCAUUGUAUAUUAUCAUUUCCACCACGCUUUAUUUGCUCAAAAAUUAUGUUUAAUAUGACUUAAGUUUCGAAAUCAUUUUUAUCCAAAAGUUUCGAAGAUAAUGUAACACUCAGUAUUUGAGAUUUUUGAAAAGAUCGUACCCUAACUUAUCGGGUCUCAAUUUUUUGAUAAUUUCAAAUAUAUGAACCUUUUUCUUUAAAAGGCACAUUUCUUAAAAAUUAUAUCGGGAAUCAAGAAAGGACCAUGUUCCAACUUACGGGAUAUAAUCUCUUUUCCGAAACCAGGACGAUCAAAACUUUUAAAAGUAAAUAAAUUUUUGGUGUUCAUUCUUGUUUCGGAAUUUAAGAUAUUGUGUCCUAAUUCACAGGAUAUAAUUCUUUUUCUCGAUUAACGAGAAAUCACCCUUCUUGAAAUUUUAAAAGUAAUUUUAACUAAAGGAUCAUAUUUUUAAAUUUUUAAUUUUUCGACAUUAAGACAUUAAUUAAUCAAUUAGGUACCAAUUUGGGCAUAACGAGGGUGCUAAUCCUUCCUUGCAUGUAACCGACUCCCGAACCCGUUUUUCUAGAAUUUCGCAGAACAAAAUUAUUAUUUUAAUAAAAUCAAAACGUUUUAUCAAAACGAUUGAAUUGUAGGGUGAUCCGACCACACCUCAAAAAAAUGUCAGUGGUGACUCCCAUUUUUUUCGUUUUUUAAAAAUCCAAGUCGACUAAUUUUUGCUUUCAAAAAGUGGUUUCGACAAUUUGUAUUUUUUAAAAAAUCAAUAAUUAAAUUUAACAUGUAAAUCGAGAUUUUUUUUAUUCAAUGAUACAAAUUUUUUUUUAUCUGAAAUCCAAUUUCAAAUUUUAAAUUUAAAGUGGUUACAAAAUGGAAUAAUAGACUUUAUAGAAAGGGAAAAGUAGGGGUUGAAACCAACCUAAAUUUAGAAAGAGAACAUGUCAUCCACACUCUCAUUUUGAACAAGACAUUACACCCACCAAACUCAUCUAACGCAAAUCAAGGAUGCGUUUCCUUGCUUCACGACAUCAAAUUUCAUCUUCUACAUUUUUAUCCAAGUGUUUUUCCACCCCUAAAAUUCUUGCCUUUUUGUCGUCGCCAUUGUUCAUCAGCUCAACAUUGAUAAAACAAAAACUAAUUACAGAUGAUUCCUUAAACUCUGAUUUCCUAUACCAUUAAUGAAUCAUUUGAGCUAUUCUACAUUCUCUUCCACUUUCAACAGAGGAACCUUGCUGCUAGAUGUAGUCCUUUCAUCUUCUUUUGCUUUUCCCCAUAUCACAGCAUAAAAUCCUAUUGAUAUAAUAAUUGCUCCAAUAAUACUGCAAAAUUAAGAUAGAAUUUAUAUAGAUUGCUUCUCAAAUGAUUCUAACAUGAAAACUAUGGAAAACAGUACCUUCCAAGAUACAGGGAAUCACCCAGGAAAAUGGCACUCAUAAAAGCAGCAAUGGCGAUUGAUACUGGUUUGAAUAUUGCAAUGUAGACAGGUCCUUUCAAAUGCAGCCCCCAUGAGAUCGCAAAUGUGCUAAAGGCUUGGAGUACACCCUACACAAUUUUAAAAAGUUUUCAAACAUGUCCAAAUAUAUGUCAUACAUGGCUACUAAAUUGUAGUUCUAACUUCUUACAGAGUAUAGGACUGCAAUAACCGCAACACUAGGCCUUAGCAUCCAAGAACUUAACUCAGAUUCUGCUAUUAAGGAAACCGGUGCAGAGAUAAUUGCCCCACAUAUGUUGUAAAACAAUGCAACAAGCAAUUCAGCUGGGUAAAUCUCCAUAACUUGGGUCUGGGAGAUUCCAAAAUCCCAAGUUCAGUUCAGUUUAUUCGAAAGUUUUCAACAUUGUAGAGGAGUGCUUAGAGAUGCAUGAUUUACCUGGAUAAUGUACCGAAUCGAAAAUAGAAGAUAGGCAACAGCAAGUAGGAUCCCACCAAUGACCCAAUUUGAAUAUGAAGGUUGAAGUAAAGUAGAAGAUGGUGAUGGAGAGGAAAAAACUUGGGGGCCUUUGUAAAGAACAACUAAUAAUGCGCCUGAAAUUGAUGCUAUGGUCCCCAUGAUUUUAGCUUGACUGGUUGAGCUUCUCAAUGCUACUCUUUCCAAUCUUGUUAUUUUUAGCAUCAAAUCAAAGGUAGAAACAAUAAAAAUUAAUGUUUAGUGCUUUUUUUUUUAAAUCUAAU